UACAGAGGUCUCAAGCGUUGUUCGGAUUCAUUGGGCGUAAAGGGUGCGUAGGCGGCGUGGUAAGUCGGAUGUGAAAUCUCGGAGCUUAACUUCGAAACUGCAUUCGAUACUGCCGUGCUUGAGGACUGGAGAGGAGACUGGAAUUUACGGUGUAGCGGUGAAAUGCGUAGAUAUCGUAAGGAAGACCAGUGGCGAAGGCGGGUCUCUGGACAGUUCCUGACGCUGAGGCACGAAGGCCAGGGGAGCAAACGGG
RNAcentral lists this ribosomal RNA (253 nucleotides) under uncultured bacterium. Its description in RNAcentral is "partial 16S ribosomal RNA". It matches the Rfam family "Bacterial small subunit ribosomal RNA", at positions 524 to 776 of the family's 1533-position model. The record is from RNAcentral.